Molecule: long non-coding RNA, 3224 nt
Filed under: Mus musculus (house mouse)
Lineage: Eukaryota; Metazoa; Chordata; Mammalia; Rodentia; Muridae
Description: long non-coding RNA chr5:96879517-96882741
Source: RNAcentral
CUAGAUAGUCUGCAGCACUGUCAAGCAUUUGUAUCAAGAAUAGUCAGCUUGUGGAGCGUUGAGUUGAGCGGUACUGUGGUUGGGAUCAGAGUCUUCUCCAUGUGUGAGCUGAGGGUUUGGUUUCUAGUUCCGAUCCAGUGCUCUUCGGAAGCGACUGACUGGAUGCUGAGGCUCUUCCCCGAUGUCUUCAAAGUUGGAAAAGCCUACUGGAAGGUGGAAGGACUGAGGAAGGAGAGGCUGGAAGGUAGGCUGUUGUGAACUGGCACCUGUUGUGUUUCUUCUCUGUUUAAUGGCUGCCAGAGAGAGGACAAGAAAGGUAGACCUGGACUUGUUUGGUGGUCUCACGGAAAUGACUGGCCAUGGCUACCAUUGAGCUAAUAAAUCUCAGCAUCUAACACAAGCCUGAGUGACACACCCUGCCUGGCUAAGGGCGAUCAAAACCAGUCUUUAGCCCCGAAUCCGAGAUCUUGUGACUACUGUAGCCCACGAAGAUGGCCAUUGUAGAAGUGAAGGCACACAAGCCAGUGCUGUUAACUCAUCUGGCAAAGGAAACUUCAAGGCAUUCUGUUUGUUUUGUAGCAGGCAAAUUGCUAUGUGCUUUUAAAGCAGGGUUUAUAGUAAUUGCUGAGAAUAAAAAGGCAACAUGGAGAGAUUUGGCUUAGAAAAACUGAAAGGCCUUUGGAAAGCUAGUUCUAAGGAAGUAAGUAUGGCUGAUGUAGAGAUAAGUACGACAAAAAUAAAGCCAAACAUUGUGUACCUGGACAGCCAGAUGCCUUGAGGGCAGCUCACACAUUGGACAGAUGGCAUCGAUUGUGAGGCUAAGGAUAGAAAACUAAUUUCAUUUGAGAGACUGUUGAGGGGAAAUGCUGCAGAGGCUCACUGCUCACAGAGGGCUGCCAAGGAAGUUAUUUCCCCGGGAUUUUCUCAUCAUGAUUAGCAAUCCAGAUGCCAAGGCCACUGCAGACUCGGUCCUAGAGACCUGGCUACUGUUGGAGCCAAUGAAAGACCUUGGCAUUGCCCUGUAGUGCUGCGUUGACCAGAAAAGAGAAAGUAUUUCACAGCCAUGGAAAUAGAGAGGAAGAAGAGAUUCAUCAGGAGAUGGAAAGGGGAUGAGAGAGGGACCUGGAGGUGAAAAAGAUUAAGAUUUGCUGUGUGUGUGUAUGUAUGUAUGUAUGUAUGUAUGUAUGUAUGUAUGUAUGUAUGAAAGUGUCAAGGAAUUAAAUGGAUACAUAAAUUAUAUGAUAUAGUUGCUGUCAUCAAUUUUAAAAUAUGGCAGACUCUAGAGAGAGAUGGUUCAGUAGUUAACACUUAGUUGAUCUUCCAGAGGACUUGAGUUGGGUUGCCUAAACGCACACAGUGGCUCAGAACUAUCUAUACCACUUCUAGAGAAUCUAAUGCCCUCUUCUGGUCUUUGCAGGCAUGAGGCAUGCAUGUGGUGUACAUACAUACAUGCAAGCAAAACAUGUAUACAUACAUAGAAUAUUUUUAAAAGAAAAAAGGAAGGAAGAAGAGGAAGAAGAUGAAGAGUAGGAGAAAAAGUUGCUAUUAUUCAUUAUCACAAGAUCAUAGAGGUUUCCAGUCAGAUUUCAAAGGAAAAUCUGGGAGGCCAGGCGGUGUGCAGCAGUGUCAGAACCCCUGUAGGGAACUUCUGUGUGGUGCAUGAAACUGUGAAAGGGGAUUUAUAGAUGCAACAGAUUCUAAGACACUGGAGAUGCCAGGGAUGUUAAACAUCUGCUGAGGAGAGCUGCAGGCUGUGAGCAGAGCCGUCCCAGGAGACAGGCUAUGUGGGCUGCAGCCAGCAAGGACACAGGGGUGGGGCUGCCCAAGGACACAGGGGUGGGGCUGCCCAAGCCUUUGGAGCUGAUGUCAUAGCACAGUGUAUACCCUGCAUGCUGGACAUCCAACUACAGGAUUGAAUGUCUGCCUUGCCAGGUUUUGAUCUUAUUUUUGCUUCAUCCCUCCUUUCUAUGCCCUUUAAGGAGAACGUUUGCUCUAAACUGUUUGAAUUUUGAAGGUAUAACUUCUUUUUUUAAUGUUUUAAUUUUAGUCACUAAUAAAUCUUUAUUUUUUAAUUACUUUUUGCUAGAAGAGGAAUUAAUGAGUUUCAUCGUGGCAUCGUCACACAGGCAUACCAUGAUCCUUUGAUCUCCUUCAUUCCCCUCUCCCAUCCCCCUGUGCUGUGUCCCCUCCUGUCUCUAACUGCUCCUUUUUUCAUUCCCCAGUUAGCUCCCACUUCUGCUUCCCCAGUGCACACAUUCUGGGUUCCCUUGCCCUGUCUAUUUCACUUCUCUUCAGAUAGCCUCCUUCCCUCCCAGACCCUCUUUCUAGUUUCAGACCUGCAGAUACACUGUUUUUGUGAGUGUGUGUUUUUGAAGGAACUCGGUGCUACAAGAUUGCCUUAAGUUUCAGAGAAGUUUUAACUUUUGGACAAGGUUAAAACUGGCUGAUGGGGACCUGCAUGUGUGUGUGUGUGUGUGUGUGUGUGUGUGUGUGAAGUUGUAAAACAAGGUGAAGAGUUGUUUCUCAUCCUCUACCAUGUGGGUCCCAGGAAUCAAACUCAGUCACAUUUACCCUGUGGGCCAUCUCACAGGCCCAUAUACAAUGGGACCUUUUUGUCUCCAUUGUAGUAGACUCUGGUAAUCCCCCGGGAGACUGAAGCAGGAGGAUUGCAGUAAAUUUGAGACUGCCUUGGUGUACAUACCAAAUUUGAGGCCAGUUAACAAUGUAUAGUGACACCCUCCCUCAGAAGACCUGUUUUGCCUUAUGAGAGCCCUUGAGAGCAGAAUAUUUAUGAUCUGCUUAUAAAAUAGUCCCUAAAAAGCUCCUGGUGUGCUAAAGGUUUGGUCCCCAUUGGGAAGUGGCCGAUGCCUGCAGGCUGUAAGUCACUUGGUGGAUGAAUCCCUGGGUGAGUUCAUAUUAUGAUAGCAUCACUGUGAGGCAGAGAGGGUGAACUUGGCAUGGGUCACUGGGAUCAUGUGCUGGAAAUUUAUAUCUUUCCUCAGUUGCUUUCCUGCCUCUCUUUUCUGCCCGGAAUCUAUUAGGUGAGUAACUGUCUUAGUUUAGAUUUCUAUUACUGUGAUAAAACACCAUGACCAGGCUGUUGGUACCACACACCUUUUAUCCCAGAACUCAGUAGGCAGAGCAGAUCUCUGAGUCUUAGGCCAGCCUGAUCUCCAGAGUGAGUUCAAGGACAGCCAAGGCUACAUAAUAAAACCCUGUCUUGG